This 310-nucleotide unclassified non-coding RNA is filed under the name plant metagenome. Its description in RNAcentral is "partial contains 5.8S ribosomal RNA, internal transcribed spacer 2, and large subunit ribosomal RNA". The stretch from base 1 to 105 matches the Rfam family "5.8S ribosomal RNA", at positions 50 to 154 of the family's 154-position model. The record is from RNAcentral.
GAAAUGCGAUAAGUAGUGUGAAUUGCAGAAUUCAGUGAAUCAUCGAAUCUUUGAACGCACAUUGCGCCACUUGGUAUUCCAUGGGGCAUGCCUGUUCGAGCGUCAUUUGUACCCUCAAGCUCUGCUUGGUGUUGGGUGUUUGUCCCCGUCUCCGCGCGUGGACUCGCCCCAAAGUGAUUGGCAGCCGGCGUACUGGUCCCGGAGCGCAGCACAUGUCGCGCAAACGAGUGCCUUGGUACGGCGGCGUCCAUAAGCCCCUCUCUCACGCUCUUGACCUCGGAUCAGGUAGGGAUACCCGCUGAACUUAAGC